GAUGAACGCUGGCGGCGUGCCUAAUACAUGCAAGUCGAGCGAACGGACGAGAAGCUUGCUUCUCUGAUGUUAGCGGCGGACGGGUGAGUAACACGUGGAUAACCUACCUAUAAGACUGGGAUAACUUCGGGAAACCGUAGCUAAUACCGGAUAAUAUUUUGAACCGCAUGGUUCAAUAGUGAAAGACGGUCUUGCUGUCACUUAUAGAUGGAUCCGCGCUGCAUUAGCUAGUUGGUAAGGUAACGGCUUACCAAGGCAACGAUGCAUAGCCGACCUGAGAGGGUGAUCGGCCACACUGGGACUGGGACACGGUCCAGACUCCUACGGGAGGCAGCAGUAGGGAAUCUUCCGCAAUGGGCGAAAGCCUGACGGAGCAACGCCGCGUGAGUGAUGAAGGUCUUCGGAUCGUAAAACUCUGUUAUUAGGGAAGAACAUAUGUGUAAGUAACUGUGCACAUCUUGACGGUACCUAAUCAGAAAGCCACGGCUAACUACGUG
This 497-nucleotide ribosomal RNA is filed under the name uncultured bacterium. Its description in RNAcentral is "partial 16S ribosomal RNA". It matches the Rfam family "Bacterial small subunit ribosomal RNA", at positions 28 to 507 of the family's 1533-position model. The record is from RNAcentral.